GCCGGAAAAUGCUUACGCAGGGACACUCAUGUAAGAGACCUCCUCGGGAGGGCAGAAAGUGACGCGCCCUCGUCGUGGUUAGACCUCUGGCGAAAAGUUGUACUUCCCGUCUACCUCUCUAAAGCCUAGAAUACGUUUGACCGAAAAACGAAUAAAAUGUGAUUCGCGUCAACGUA
Eriocheir sinensis (Chinese mitten crab) is the source of this 176-nucleotide long non-coding RNA. RefSeq lists it as uncharacterized. The record is from RefSeq and is a predicted model, not a curated record. Lineage: Eukaryota; Metazoa; Arthropoda; Malacostraca; Decapoda; Varunidae. The transcript is spliced from 2 exons.